AUUACACAACAAAAUAUGAAGGCCUGGCUUUGCGGCCGGCUGAAAUAUUUUUUUCACCCAUGUCUUUUGCGCACUUGUUGUUUCCUGGGCGGGUUCGCCCGCCACCAGGACCAAACCAUAAACCUUUUUUUUAUGCAGUUGCAAUCAGCGUCAGUAUAAACAAUGUAAUUAUUACAACUUUCAACAACGGAUCUCUUGGUUCUGGCAUCGAUGAAGAACGCAGCGAAAUGCGAUACGUAGUGUGAAUUGCAGAAUUCAGUGAAUCAUCGAAUCUUUGAACGCACAUUGCGCCCUUUGGUAUUCCAAAGGGCAUGCCUGUUCGAGCGUCAUUUGUACCCUCAAGCUUUGCUUGGUGUUGGGCGUUUUUGUCUCCCUCUUUGCUGGGAGACUCGCCUUAAAACGAUUGGCAGCCGGCCUACUGGUUUCGGAGCGCAGCACAUAUUUUGCACUCUGUAUCAGGAGAAAAGGACGGUAAUCCAUCAAGACUCUUACGAUUUUUAACUUUUGACCUCGGAUCAGGUAGGGAUACCCGCUGAACUUAAGCAUAUCAAUAA
Molecule: unclassified non-coding RNA, 554 nt
Filed under: Bipolaris maydis (southern corn leaf blight pathogen)
Lineage: Eukaryota; Fungi; Ascomycota; Dothideomycetes; Pleosporales; Pleosporaceae
Description: sequence contains 18S rRNA gene, ITS1, 5.8S rRNA gene and ITS2
Rfam family: 5.8S ribosomal RNA (bases 176-329)
Source: RNAcentral